Molecule: ribosomal RNA, 1423 nt
Filed under: Escherichia coli
Lineage: Bacteria; Pseudomonadati; Pseudomonadota; Gammaproteobacteria; Enterobacterales; Enterobacteriaceae
Description: partial 23S ribosomal RNA
Rfam family: Bacterial large subunit ribosomal RNA
Source: RNAcentral
AGUGGAAGCGUCUGGAAAGGCGCGCGAUACAGGGUGACAGCCCCGUACACAAAAAUGCACAUGCUGUGAGCUCGAUGAGUAGGGCGGGACACGUGGUAUCCUGUCUGAAUAUGGGGGGACCAUCCUCCAAGGCUAAAUACUCCUGACUGACCGAUAGUGAACCAGUACCGUGAGGGAAAGGCGAAAAGAACCCCGGCGAGGGGAGUGAAAAAGAACCUGAAACCGUGUACGUACAAGCAGUGGGAGCACGCUUAGGCGUGUGACUGCGUACCUUUUGUAUAAUGGGUCAGCGACUUAUAUUCUGUAGCAAGGUUAACCGAAUAGGGGAGCCGAAGGGAAACCGAGUCUUAACUGGGCGUUAAGUUGCAGGGUAUAGACCCGAAACCCGGUGAUCUAGCCAUGGGCAGGUUGAAGGUUGGGUAACACUAACUGGAGGACCGAACCGACUAAUGUUGAAAAAUUAGCGGAUGACUUGUGGCUGGGGGUGAAAGGCCAAUCAAACCGGGAGAUAGCUGGUUCUCCCCGAAAGCUAUUUAGGUAGCGCCUCGUGAAUUCAUCUCCGGGGGUAGAGCACUGUUUCGGCAAGGGGGUCAUCCCGACUUACCAACCCGAUGCAAACUGCGAAUACCGGAGAAUGUUAUCACGGGAGACACACGGCGGGUGCUAACGUCCGUCGUGAAGAGGGAAACAACCCAGACCGCCAGCUAAGGUCCCAAAGUCAUGGUUAAGUGGGAAACGAUGUGGGAAGGCCCAGACAGCCAGGAUGUUGGCUUAGAAGCAGCCAUCAUUUAAAGAAAGCGUAAUAGCUCACUGGUCGAGUCGGCCUGCGCGGAAGAUGUAACGGGGCUAAACCAUGCACCGAAGCUGCGGCAGCGACGCUUAUGCGUUGUUGGGUAGGGGAGCGUUCUGUAAGCCUGCGAAGGUGUGCUGUGAGGCAUGCUGGAGGUAUCAGAAGUGCGAAUGCUGACAUAAGUAACGAUAAAGCGGGUGAAAAGCCCGCUCGCCGGAAGACCAAGGGUUCCUGUCCAACGUUAAUCGGGGCAGGGUGAGUCGACCCCUAAGGCGAGGCCGAAAGGCGUAGUCGAUGGGAAACAGGUUAAUAUUCCUGUACUUGGUGUUACUGCGAAGGGGGGACGGAGAAGGCUAUGUUGGCCGGGCGACGGUUGUCCCGGUUUAAGCGUGUAGGCUGGUUUUCCAGGCAAAUCCGGAAAAUCAAGGCUGAGGCGUGAUGACGAGGCACUACGGUGCUGAAGCAACAAAUGCCCUGCUUCCAGGAAAAGCCUCUAAGCAUCAGGUAACAUCAAAUCGUACCCCAAACCGACACAGGUGGUCAGGUAGAGAAUACCAAGGCGCUUGAGAGAACUCGGGUGAAGGAACUAGGCAAAAUGGUGCCGUAACUUCGGGAGAAGGCACGCUGAUAUGU